UACGGAGGGGGCUAGCGUUGUUCGGAAUUACUGGGCGUAAAGCGCACGUAGGCGGCUUUGUAAGUUAGAGGUGAAAGCCCAGGGCUUAACCCUGGAAUUGCCUUUAAGACUGCAUCGCUAGAAUCGUGGAGAGGUGAGUGGAAUUCCGAGUGUAGAGGUGAAAUUCGUAGAUAUUGGGAAGAACACCGGUGGCGAAGGCGGCUCACUGGCUCAUUACUGACGCUCAGGCGCGAUAGCGUGGGGAUCAAACAGG
RNAcentral lists this ribosomal RNA (253 nucleotides) under uncultured bacterium. Its description in RNAcentral is "partial 16S ribosomal RNA". It matches the Rfam family "Bacterial small subunit ribosomal RNA", at positions 524 to 776 of the family's 1533-position model. The record is from RNAcentral.